UACGGGGGGAGCAAGCGUUGUUCGGAUUUACUGGGCGUAAAGGGCGCGUAGGCGGCGUGACAAGUCACUUGUGAAAUCUCCGGGCUUAACUCGGAACGGUCAAGUGAUACUGUCGGACUAGAGUACAGAAGGGGCAACUGGAAUUCUCGGUGUAGCGGUGAAAUGCGCAGAUAUCAGGAGGAACACCGGUGGCGAAGGCGGUUCUCUGGGCAUGUCCUGACGCUGAGGAGCGAAAGUGUGGGGAGCGAACAGG
RNAcentral lists this ribosomal RNA (253 nucleotides) under uncultured bacterium. Its description in RNAcentral is "partial 16S ribosomal RNA". It matches the Rfam family "Bacterial small subunit ribosomal RNA", at positions 524 to 776 of the family's 1533-position model. The record is from RNAcentral.